CCUACGGGUGGCAGCAGUGGGGAAUAUUGCACAAUGGGGGAAACCCUGAUGCAGCGACGCCGCGUGAGCGAAGAAGUAUUUCGGUAUGUACAGCUCUAUCAGCAGAGAAGAAAAUGACGGUCCCUGAGUAAGAAGCUCCGGCUAAAUACGUGCCAGCAGCCGCGGUAAUACGUAUGGAGCAAGCGUUCUCCGGAUUUACUGGGCGUAAAGGGAGCGUAGGCGGCCUGCCAAGUCUGAUGUGAAAGACAGAGGCUCAACCCUGUUGCUGCAUUGGAAACUGGCAGGCUGGAGUGCCGGAGAGGUAGGUGGAAUUCCUAGUGUAGCGGUGAAAUGCGUAGAUAUUAGGAGGAACACCAGUGGCGAAGGCGGCCUGCUGGACGGUGACUGACGCUGAGGCUCGAAAGCGUGGGGAGCAAACAGGAGUAGAUACCCUUGUAGUC
This 440-nucleotide ribosomal RNA is filed under the name uncultured bacterium. RNAcentral's name for it is "partial 16S ribosomal RNA". It matches the Rfam family "Bacterial small subunit ribosomal RNA", at positions 338 to 795 of the family's 1533-position model. The record is from RNAcentral.